GGAUAUAGCUCAGUUGGUAGAGUGCUUGCCUUGCGUGCAUCAAGGUACUGGGUUCAAUCCUCAGCACCA
RNAcentral lists this transfer RNA (69 nucleotides) under Marmota monax (woodchuck). Its description in RNAcentral is "tRNA.Ala". The record is from RNAcentral. Lineage: Eukaryota; Metazoa; Chordata; Mammalia; Rodentia; Sciuridae.